This 921-nucleotide long non-coding RNA is filed under the name Mytilus galloprovincialis (Mediterranean mussel). The record is from RNAcentral. Lineage: Eukaryota; Metazoa; Mollusca; Bivalvia; Mytilida; Mytilidae.
AUUUUAUGCUAUCUUCCUACAACUGUAACAAAUCAUCUGAUAAGAUGUAAGGGUCAGAAACCGACGAAAAGUUCUUUUUGGUAUCGUAAUGGCAAUGUAUAAAAUGAAGAGAGAAACUAGAGAGUAAAUUGCAAAAUUUUUACUUAUUCGUAAAAAAUUCUUUCAUAUCAAAAUACACAAUAUAUAUACAUCUGUACAAAACGAUAAUAAUGAAUGAAAAUACAUAAAAACAAUAAUAACAUAUUACAUAACAUAUUACAUAAUACAGUAGCUUGGCCUAGAAAAGGGGUCAACUAAGCCAAGCCAAAAAUUUCAUAGUUAGCCAAAACAAAUCACCUAGUAUAAAAAAGAAGCAAAAACAAAAACAAUCAAAUUUCUAAGUAAAGAAAAGGAGUUGAAAAGGGGGAUGGAGGGAGGGAAAUUGAUAAAAUCCCAAAUAAAAUCUUGUUUACAUAAAUAUCGAUCGUGUUGCUUAUCAAGGAUGUGUAAACUGUGACGUGUAGUGUAAAUACUGACACACAUAAUCUAGGCAGGGGCUCUCCAAAGGGAAAGGCAAAUUAACUUAGAAUAAAACUAAAGAUUUCCGUCAUCUGCAUAAAAUAAGUUAUUAAAAUAACUUGCCUUUAUGCUAUCUUCCUACAACUGUAACAAAUCAUCUGAUAAGAUGUAAGGGUCAGAAACCGACGAAAAGUUCUUUUUGGUAUCGUAAUGGCAAUGUAUAAAUGAAUGGAGAAACUAGAGAGUAAAUUGCAAAAUUUUUACUUAUUCGUAAAAAAUUCUUUCAUAUCAAAAUACACAAUAUAUAUACAUCUGUACAAAACGAUAAUAAUGAAUGAAAAUACAUAAAAACAAUAAUAACAUAUUACAUAACAUAUUACAUAAUACAGUAGCUUGGCCUAGAAAAGGGGUCAACUAAGCCAC